CCUACGGGAGGCAGCAGUGGGGAAUAUUGGACAAUGGGGGGAACCCUGAUCCAGCGACGCCGCGUGAGUGAAGAAGUAUUUCGGUAUGUAAAGCUCUAUCAGCAGGGAAGAAAGAAAUGACGGUACCUGACUAAGAAGCCCCGGCUAACUACGUGCCAGCAGCCGCGGUAAGACGUAGGGGGCAAGCGUUAUCCGGAUUUACUGGGUGUAAAGGGAGCGUAGACGGCGAUGCAAGUCUGAAGUGAAAGGCGGGGGCCCAACCUCCGGACUGCUUUGGAAACUGUAUGGCUGGAGUGCAGGAGGGGUAAGUGGAAUUCCUAGUGUAGCGGUGAAAUGCGUAGAUAUUAGGAGGAACACCAGUGGCGAAGGCGGCUUACUGGACUGUAACUGACGUUGAGGCUCGAAAGCGUGGGGAGCAAACAGGAUUAGAUACCCUGGUAGUC
This 443-nucleotide ribosomal RNA is filed under the name uncultured bacterium. RNAcentral's name for it is "partial 16S ribosomal RNA". It matches the Rfam family "Bacterial small subunit ribosomal RNA", at positions 338 to 795 of the family's 1533-position model. The record is from RNAcentral.